This is a non-coding RNA of Plectropomus leopardus (leopard coralgrouper), 207 nucleotides long. The record is from RefSeq and is a predicted model, not a curated record. NCBI's taxonomy places the organism in Eukaryota, Metazoa, Chordata, Actinopteri, Perciformes, Serranidae.
AGCUCACAUCAGCUCAGCUUUAACAUCAACCAUGUUCCCUGUAGCUCUGAUACUGCUGCUGGCAGCUGGAUCCUGUGUGAACAGUAUCAGUCUCAUCCAGCCAGACUCACUGGUCGCGCAGCCUGGACAGUCUUUGACCAUCACCUGUCAGGUCUCUGGUUAUUCUUUGACUGAUGACAGCUACGCAACAGGCUGGAUCAGACAGCG